UCUUUAGUUUGCAUAUUAAAAAUAAAAAUAAAUUAUAGGAACAUCUCUUCGAUUUUAAUUCAAAUUUACUUAUGCCUCUUCAAUUUUAAAAAGUAUCAAACUAGUCAUUCAAGUUUUCAAGAUGUUCAAAAUAGUCUUGCUAUCCACUUACCAAUAAAUAUAUGUUAUCUUUCUAUUUCAAUUAAUGAGAAUAUCCUUUUCUCAUAUAGGUGGGAUCACCUGCAAGGAAAGAGUGAAGGUAGAGAGAGCUAUGG
RNAcentral lists this long non-coding RNA (254 nucleotides) under Elaeis guineensis (African oil palm). Its description in RNAcentral is "long non-coding RNA (EGUI_LNC018262)". The record is from RNAcentral. Lineage: Eukaryota; Viridiplantae; Streptophyta; Magnoliopsida; Arecales; Arecaceae.